Molecule: ribosomal RNA, 492 nt
Filed under: uncultured bacterium
Lineage: Bacteria
Description: partial 16S ribosomal RNA
Rfam family: Bacterial small subunit ribosomal RNA
Source: RNAcentral
AGUGAACGCUGGCGGUAGGCCUAACGCAUGCAAGUCGAACGGCAGCACAGUAAGAGCUUGCUCUUACGGGUGGCGAGUGGCGGACGGGUGAGGAAUACAUCGGAAUCUACUUUUUCGUGGGGGAUAACGUAGGGAAACUUACGCUAAUACCGCAUACGACCUACGGGUGAAAGCAGGGGAUCUUCGGACCUUGCGCGAUUGAAUGAGCCGAUGUCGGAUUAGCUAGUUGGCGGGGUAAAGGCCCACCAAGGCGACGAUCCGUAGCUGGUCUGAGAGGAUGAUCAGCCACACUGGAACUGAGACACGGUCCAGACUCCUACGGGAGGCAGCGGUGGGGAAUAUUGGACAAUGGGCGCAAGCCUGAUCCAGCCAUACCGCGUGGGUGAAGAAGGCCUUCGGGUUGUAAAGCCCUUUUGUUGGGAAAGAAAAGCAGCAGGUUAAUACCCCGCUGUUCUGACGGUACCCAAAGAAUAAGCACCGGCUAACUUCGUG